RNAcentral lists this long non-coding RNA (1152 nucleotides) under Oncorhynchus mykiss (rainbow trout). RNAcentral describes it as "lncRNA (ENSOMYG00000051887.1)". Lineage: Eukaryota; Metazoa; Chordata; Actinopteri; Salmoniformes; Salmonidae. The record is from RNAcentral.
AUGUCACAUAUGCAGUUAUUGAAAAUAUAUGUGAAUAUCUGCUCCAUCCAGACUUACAACCGACUGAUUGCAGCCCUACCACAGAAAUGGAGGAGACAAGAGGAAGAGGGAGAAGGUAGGGAACUUGUUUACCUGGUUUAUCAACUGGUACAAAAAGGGAGGAGACAAGAGGAAAAGGGAGAAGGUAGGGAACUUGUUUACCUGGUUUAUCAACUGGUACAAAAAGGGAGGAGACAAGAGGAAAAGGGAGAAGGUAGGGAACUUGUUUACCUGGUUUAUCAACUGGUACAAAAAGGGAGGAGACAAGAGGAAAAGGGAGUAGGUAGGGAACUUGUUUACCUGGUUUAUCAACUGGUACAAAAAGGGAGGAGACAAGAGGUAAAGGGAGUAGGUAGGGAACUUGUUUACCUGGUUUAUCAACUGGUACAAAAAGGGAGGAGACAAGAGGAAAAGGGAGUAGGUAGGGAACUUGUUUACCUGGUUUAUCAACUGGUACAAAAAGGGAGGAGACAAGAGGUAAAGGGAGUAGGUAGGGAACUUGUUUACCUGGUUUAUCAACUGGUACAAAAAGGGAGGAGACAAGAGGAAAAGGGAGUAGGUAGGGAACUUGUUUACCUGGUUUAUCAACUGGUACAAAAAGGGAGGAGACAAGAGGAAAAGGGAGUAGGUAGGGAACUUGUUUACCUGGUUUAUCAACUGGUACAAAAAGGGAGGAGACAAGAGGAAAAGGGAGUAGGUAGGGAACUUGUUUACCUGGUUUAUCAACUGGUACAAAAAGGGAGGAGACAAGAGGUAAAGGGAGAAGGUAGGGAACUUGUUUGCUUGGUUUAUCAACUGGUACAAAAAGGGAGGAGACAAGAGGUAAAGGGAGUAGGUAGGGAACUUGUUUGCCUGCCAUAUAUUAAAGAUACAAAUUGGCUGAAAGGAACUGGCAGAAAUAGAACUAUAUAUCAAUUUCAUCUGAGGAUGGAGACAGCUCCACCAUACAGGUUGCAAAAUAAAUGGGAGGAGAUGUUCAAUGUACCAAUUCCAUGGCACAUGGUUUAUCAACUGGUACAAAAAACUACACUUGAUUCCACACUCAGAGUUUUUCAAUUUAAAUUCUUAUAUAACAUUCUAGCCACCAACAGAAUGCUACAUAAUAUUAUAUAA